RNAcentral lists this ribosomal RNA (1244 nucleotides) under metagenome. RNAcentral describes it as "bacterial LSU rRNA". It matches the Rfam family "Bacterial large subunit ribosomal RNA", at positions 1564 to 2817 of the family's 2925-position model. The record is from RNAcentral.
UGAAUACGAGAUGCUACGGCGUCGAAGCAGUCUAUGUCAUACUUCCAAGAAAAGCUUGCACUGUCAUAAACAAAUAAUGCCUGUACCAUAACCGACACAGGUGGGUAGGUAGAGUAUACUAAGGGGCGCGAGAUAACUCUCUCUAAGGAACUCGGCAAAAUGACUCCGUAACUUCGGGAGAAGGAGUGCCUUAUUUAUAAGGUUGCAAUAACAAGAUCCAAGCAACUGUUUACCAAAAACACAGGUCUCCGCUAAGUCGUAAGACGAUGUAUGGGGGCUGACGCCUGCCCAGUGCCAGAAGGUUAAAGAAGUUGGUUAGCAUCCGCGAAGCUGAUAACUGAAGCCCUGGUGAACGGCGGCCGUAACGAUAACGGUCCUAAGGUAGCGAAAUUCCUUGUCGGGUAAGUUCCGACCCGCACGAAAGGCGUAAUGAUUUGGAUACUGUCUCGGAGAGGGGCUCGGUGAAAUAGACUUGUCUGUGAAGAUGCGGACUACAUGCACCAGGACAGAAAGACCCUAUGAAGCUUUACUGUAACCUGAAAUUGAAAUUGGACUUUACUUGCGCAGUAUAGGUGGGAGGCGUUGAGAAUAUUCUUGCGGGAUUAUUGGAGCCAUCAGUGAGAUACCACUCUUGUAAUGUUAGAUUUCUAACUUUGUAUCAUUAUCUGGUCAAAGAACAGUUUCAGGCGGGCAGUUUGACUGGGGCGGUCGCCUCCUAAACGGUAACGGAGGCGCACAAAGGUUUCCUCUGAACGGGUAGAAAUCGUAUCUAGAGUGUAAAGGCAUAAGGAAGCUUGACUGUGAGACCUACAAGUCGAGCAGGGACGAAAGUCGGUCUUAGUGAUCUGACGGUGCUGAGUGGAAAGGCCGUCACUCAACGGAUAAAAGUUACUCUAAGGAUAACAGGCUGAUCUCCCCCAAGAGUUCACAUCGACGGGGAGGUUUGGCACCUCGAUGUCGGCUCAUCGCAUCCUGGGGCGGUAGUACGUCCCAAGGGUUGGGCUGUUCGCCCAUGAAAGCGGUACGCGAGCUGGGUUCAGAACGUCGUGAGACAGUUCGGUCCAUAUCCGGUGUAGGCGUUAGAAUAUUGAGAGGAGCCUUCUUUAGUACGAGAGGACCGAGAAGGACAUACCUCUGGUGUACCAGUUAUCGUGCCAACGGUAAACGCUGGGUAGCUAUGUGUGGAGUGGAUAACCGCUGAAAGCAUCUAAGUGGGAAGCCCACCUCAAGAUAAGUAUUCUCAC